GACGAACGCUGGCGGCGUGCCUAAUACAUGCAUGUCGAGCGCAGGAAAUCGACGGAACCCUUCGGGGGGAAGUCGACGGAAUGAGCGGCGGACGGGUGAGUAACACGUAAAGAACCUGCCCUCAGGUCUGGGAUAACCACGAGAAAUCGGGGCUAAUACCGGAUGGGUCAUCGGACCGCAUGGUCCGAGGAUGAAAGGCGCUUCGGCGUCGCCUGGGGAUGGCUUUGCGGUGCAUUAGCUAGUUGGUGGGGUAAUGGCCCACCAAGGCGACGAGGCAUAGCCGACCUGAGAGGGUGAUCGGCCACACUGGGACGGAGACACGGCCCAGACUCCUACGGGAGGCAGCAGUAGGGAAUCUUCCACAAUGGACGAAAGUCUGAUGGAGCAACGCCGCGUGAACGAUGAAGGCCUUCGGGUCGUAAAGUUCUGUUGUAAGGGAAGAACAAGUGCCGCAGGCAAUGGCGGCACCUUGACGGUACCUUGCGAGAAAGCCACGGCUAACUACGUGCCAGCCGCCGCCGUAA
RNAcentral lists this ribosomal RNA (524 nucleotides) under uncultured bacterium. RNAcentral's name for it is "partial 16S ribosomal RNA". It matches the Rfam family "Bacterial small subunit ribosomal RNA", at positions 28 to 523 of the family's 1533-position model. The record is from RNAcentral.